GCCGAGGUGGCGGAACUGGCAGACGCGCUGGACUUAGAAUCCAGUAGGGUAACCUGUGCGGGUUCAAUUCCCGCCCUCGGCA
RNAcentral lists this transfer RNA (82 nucleotides) under Deltaproteobacteria bacterium GWA2_45_12. RNAcentral describes it as "tRNA-Leu". It matches the Rfam family "tRNA". From Rfam's summary of the family: Transfer RNA (tRNA) molecules are approximately 80 nucleotides in length. Their secondary structure includes four short double-helical elements and three loops (D, anti-codon, and T loops). Further hydrogen bonds mediate the characteristic L-shaped molecular structure. tRNAs have two regions of fundamental functional importance: the anti-codon, which is responsible for specific mRNA codon recognition, and the 3' end, to which the tRNAs corresponding amino acid is attached (by aminoacyl-tRNA synthetases). tRNAs cope with the degeneracy of the genetic code in two manners: having more than one tRNA (with a specific anti-codon) for a particular amino acid; and 'wobble' base-pairing, i.e. permitting non-standard base-pairing at the 3rd anti-codon position. RNAcentral also lists the same sequence under 1 other name. Lineage: Bacteria; Deltaproteobacteria. The record is from RNAcentral.